UACGAAGGGUGCAAGCGUUAAUCGGAAUUACUGGGCGUAAAGCGCACGUAGGUGGUUUGUUAAGCCAGCUGUGAAAUCCCCGGGCUCAACCUGGGCACUGCAGUUGGAACUGGCAAGCUAGAGUAGGGUAGAGGGGUGUGGAAUUCCAGGUGUAGCGGUGAAAUGCGUAGAUAUCUGGAGGAACAUCAGUGGCGAAGGCGACACCCUGGACUCAUACUGACACUGAGGUGCGAAAGCGUGGGGAGCAAACAGG
RNAcentral lists this ribosomal RNA (253 nucleotides) under uncultured bacterium. RNAcentral's name for it is "partial 16S ribosomal RNA". It matches the Rfam family "Bacterial small subunit ribosomal RNA", at positions 524 to 776 of the family's 1533-position model. The record is from RNAcentral.